Molecule: regulatory RNA element, 85 nt
Rfam family: chrB-a RNA
Source: Rfam
UCCAUGGGGCCAAGCGCGCGCGCCCCGUGAGGCCUAGGCCCAAGCGUCGCAUCCACGACCCUUACCAAGGGAAGGAUGUACCAUG